UUACCAGUUAGAAAUGCAUAUUCUUAUAUCAAACAUAAAAGGGGGAUAACUCUCAUAUGGAACAGUGUUCUACCCAGGCCGUUUUACAGGGCCGUAACUAGCCUCUUUUAAUAGUGAGGCAAAAUAUAUUUGCCGAGCGUAGCGAGGCUAAAAAUUUUUGGCGAGGGGUCUGAAGCUCUGAGAAAAAUAACGCAAAAUCGUGCAUUCUGAGCGUUUCCCGGACUUUUUUUUUACAUUGAAACGCAAUUAAUUUUUAGCUAUUUUUUCGACAAUAUUCUGGUCUCAAAGCUAAAACAUAGAUUAAUUGUAAUUUAAGACUUUUAGGUUUCACAGGGACAACAUUAAAAGUAGACCGAUAUGUAGG
RNAcentral lists this long non-coding RNA (364 nucleotides) under Mytilus galloprovincialis (Mediterranean mussel). Lineage: Eukaryota; Metazoa; Mollusca; Bivalvia; Mytilida; Mytilidae. The record is from RNAcentral.